UGAGCACUGAUGAACACCUCCACUUGC
RNAcentral lists this non-coding RNA (27 nucleotides) under Homo sapiens (human). Lineage: Eukaryota; Metazoa; Chordata; Mammalia; Primates; Hominidae. The record is from RNAcentral.